CUGGUUGCCGAGUUAUCUUGGGCCGGACGUACUGGUGGGUGAACCUCUCGCUCCAGAAUGGGCUCUGGGUACAAAGGUGGGCUGGGAAUUGUGCUCUCCUUCAGAGGAAGGAGGUUCUGAGGUCAGGUUUUGUGCAAAUAUGGGUGGCUGGUUGGAGCUGGUUCUCAAGGUGUAGCCUUCCGGCCUGGAAAAUGUUCCUAAGAAAGUGUUGCCUAGAGCAUAUCAGUGGUUACUCAUGAAGCAAAGGAAGUUAACAGACCUUGCGUAACAACUCUAUCUUAUCAUGAGGUGCCUUCCAGGAGCCUCUACCUAGGGUUUCAGGAUGAGUACCCAGGAACCUCUGCCAACAAGCCAUGGUCGCCUAGGCAGUAUCCAGAAGCCUCUGCCAAUAAGCCACUGUCACCAGGUACACAAACGCCACCUGGCAGACUGUCCCAUCACCUGAAGUACUGCUUCAUGCUGCAAAGCCUGGAAGUUGGGUGUAUGUCAAAGUCUGGGACAGCACAACGCUAACAGAAAAGUGGAAUGGACCCUAUGAAGUGUUAAUGUCCACACCGACAGCCAUCAGAGUCAGCAGAAAGGGAGCUUGGAAAUGUUGAACAGCUUACCCAGCAGAGCCGGGACAACCGGGAAGCUGAACCAGUAGGAGAAUUGAAAUGGCUUUAAGAAAAAGAAAACAGAUAAGUGACUUAAAAUACCCACUGACUGUCAUCCCCUAGCUGUUGUACUAGCUGUUCUGUUCUUUUUUCUUAUCAUUGUAUUGUUAUUAUAUAAACUUUGUGUCUUUCUACAAGGGUGUAAUCAUUUUCUUUGCCCCUGAGCCAUCACGCACCCACUACCUGCAACUACAAUUUGUCUUAUAGUACUGUUAGUUGCAAUACUGUUUAUCAUCUUCCUGAUACUUGAAUGUCCCACCGGUCCAGGGCACCCCCUUCUAUUCUGGUACAAACAUUGCCUAUUUUACUUCCUAUUCAAGAAUAUUAUCCUGUGAGUUUUAAUAAUAGUUUCUUUUCUUUGUUAACUGAGCUUUAUGCUCUACCAAAGCUGUACAAUCACUCCCUUUACUAUUGCUAGGUAACCAUGUGGACCUCCUUUCCCAUCAUGUUACUCCUCAUUUUGGUGGCUUUCCUAUUUUACCUUGCCCCUGCAACUCAUGCUCCUUAGACUACUAAUAGUUCCAGCUAACUAAGGCCAUCGCAGAUGGGGCCCAGCUAACAGACUGUUGGAUUUGCCACUACCACCCGCAUGUUGCUAACUCCACUCUUUCCCUUGUGAUCCCUGUUGUUCUGUGCCACCACAUACCAUGAAUUAUACUUAGACAAUACUCAAGAUAUUAGCCAAAUUAGAAUCCUCACCUGCCUACACUUUCAAUGUAACACCUUUCUCUAAUGUGGUCUCUUAUCCUUUAUACUCAGCAAUCAGGGAGAGCUGGCAUACACAGCAUACCUGAGGGGCCCACCUGGAAAUUUUUUCCUCAUGAACACCCGGCCUUAACUGAGGCAAUAAAAAACUCCAAAGUCAAUGGUUUUCACCCUCUAUGGUGCAAUAUAUAUCCUGACCAUGGCACUCAAUAUGAUCUAAUAACCAGACACCAAGACAUAGAUUCCUAGUUAUGGCAGGCUAGCCACAGCAUUGCUGAACUAACUCUUGGCCAGGCCAUUUGUGCACCUACGGGACACAUCUGGUUAUGCAGAAGGAGGCUCACACCCUCCAAAGCCUAGCCUCAUUUGAGAAACUCAUAGCAAAUACAGACAUUACAGUGCCUUAACCUGUUCUGCAGGUGGGGGAGUGCAUGUUAGGGUUUCUCAGCCCUCACGUUACACUAUACAAUAAUACCCAGAGUCCGCUUUCCCAAAGAAAGAGGGGCCCUCUUGACGGGAUUUUAGGAUGGACCACCAAAGCUACUGGACUAACCAUCUCCUGGGUUGGCAUAGCUCAACAUGAAUUUACGCUGGGUAACCUGACUGACACUGUUGAAGAAAUUGCCAGUAGCAGAGGCACUGCCAUCUCAGAGCAACAGAAAACUCUCGACUCUCUGGGUUUUGAAGACUGUGACCUAUGAGGAGUAGAUUGCCAGGCCUGUCUCCUGAGAUGCUGCUGCCACUGGGGUUACUGGCAGGUUUGACCAAUGCUGGAUAUCUGCAAAACCAGGCAGUGGCGACACUGGCGUCCGCUUCAUGUAGUGGGUUUGGAGGCCCAUCCCAUGAGGACAGUCCCUCUUCACCUUCUCUGAAGGUAAGAA
Molecule: long non-coding RNA, 2242 nt
Organism: Loxodonta africana (African savanna elephant)
Lineage: Eukaryota; Metazoa; Chordata; Mammalia; Proboscidea; Elephantidae
Exons: 4
Source: RefSeq, a predicted model, not a curated record